Long non-coding RNA from Microplitis mediator, 330 nucleotides. RefSeq lists it as uncharacterized. The transcript has 4 exons. The record is from RefSeq and is a predicted model, not a curated record. Lineage: Eukaryota; Metazoa; Arthropoda; Insecta; Hymenoptera; Braconidae.
UGUGGUGUGACAUCGUAUAUGAAAUUUAUGAAUUGAUUUAAUUAUAUUAAAUAUUCUGAUAAAAAAAACAACUAAUUUUUAAAAGUAUCAUAACCAUGGCAUUAUCUGAUUAGUGACGAUUAAGUAUUUCUCAUUAAAAGAUAUCAAUCACGAUAUUUUAGAAUGGUCAGUCAACGAUAUAGCGAGCAACCUAAUGUAGAUGAUUUGGUGGAUAAUGAAAAUUUGGCAGAUGAGACGGAAGGGUUUUAUGGAAAGUUACGGUACCAUCAAAACAUAGACCCUUAUUUUAUACAGUAAUAUACAUUAUUGUUGCAAAUGACGAUCAUACUA